Molecule: ribosomal RNA, 253 nt
Filed under: uncultured bacterium
Lineage: Bacteria
Description: partial 16S ribosomal RNA
Rfam family: Bacterial small subunit ribosomal RNA
Source: RNAcentral
UACGAAGGGUGCAAGCGUUAAUCGGAAUUACUGGGCGUAAAGCGUGCGUAGGUGGUUUGUUAAGUCUGCUGUGAAAGCCCUGGGCUCAACCUGGGAAUGGCGGUGGAUACUGACAAGCUAGAGUGCGGUAGAGGAGGGUGGAAUUCCCGGUGUAGCGGUGAAAUGCGUAGAGAUCGGGAGGAACAUCAGUGGCGAAGGCGGCCCUCUGGACCAAUACUGACGCUCAUGUGCGAAAGCGUGGGGAGCAAACAGG